GAGGAUAUUGCUCAGUGGUACAGUGUGUGCUUAGCAUGCAUGAGGGUCUGGGUUCAAUCCCCAGUGCCACCG
RNAcentral lists this transfer RNA (72 nucleotides) under Camelus bactrianus (Bactrian camel). It matches the Rfam family "tRNA". From Rfam's summary of the family: Transfer RNA (tRNA) molecules are approximately 80 nucleotides in length. Their secondary structure includes four short double-helical elements and three loops (D, anti-codon, and T loops). Lineage: Eukaryota; Metazoa; Chordata; Mammalia; Artiodactyla; Camelidae. RNAcentral also lists the same sequence under 2 other names. The record is from Rfam by way of RNAcentral.